AAUAUGUUUUAAUUAGUGUAUAACCACCUGAGUAUAAGUAUUGUUGUUUUUUUGUUACCUUAGAACGACAGACAAAUGUUUCUACGGUAGGCCAGAACGGACCAGAUUGAGCCUUUUGCUUUUUUAACAGCCACCGUAGUUUCUCCUACAUGGUUUAAUGAGCUAGUUAGCUAAUCAACAUCAAUUGUUAGAUAGUCACAUCUGAAAACUAAUCUUAACUUUAAAUUAAAAAACAUAGCUGUAGAUUAAGUUUCUCCUACAUGUUGGAACUUUAACUAAAAUGUUUUUCAACAGCUAGUUUUUAGUUUUAAUUUACUAUAAUAACGUUGGUCGGCCUCGUCAGCUGCUUUCUGUAAUUAAGUGCUCUUCAUUUUCCCUCCAGCUCGCACAAACUAUUUCCUCUUUGUGCGUUCGGUAUGAAAACUGCUGCCAGAGUCAGUACUCUCUCUGGUCUCUCCCUUUUUUUGUUGUUUUCAACCGCAUUACUCGGUUGAGAUACAGUUAAUUACACAACUUUCGAGUCGCCGUCAAACUCUGUGUUGCCUGGCAACCAGGAUGUUGUAACACUGCUCGUGGCCUUGGACUUGUCGCUCCUCUUGCCACCGUCGACACUUUCUGGUUUGUGUGUUUUUUUUUUUUUUUUAAAAGAUAAAAGCAUCUCUCGUCUGAUUAUCGUCAUGAGUCUCUUUGUAAAAUUAAAAACUAACAGGUGACGUAUUAUAAUUUGUGCUUGAAGCUUUUUGUGUCCAGUCUGUUCCAGGUCAGAUUAGGGUUUCUCCAUCCAGAGAGUCCAGUUAUUUCAUCCCGAUCCUUUGAGGAUAAUCAUCUAUGAGCCUGAGGGAUCUGAGCCAGUGCCUUGCUCAAGGGCACCAACUGGAGAACCAGAGGAAACCCGUGCAAGGCCGCAGCUGGGACUUGAACCCACAACCUACUAACUACUGAGCCACUGGCUAGGGGAGCUAUAGCCACCCUGGUCAACUUUCUCCUUCACUGUACUUGUACAUGUGCUACAUGCUAGGCUCGUCUACGUUGAAAAGACAAACCACAUUUUGAAGAUGAAGAGGAAGAUUAACUUUAUUAAUUCCCAGUGGGGAAAUUAAAAAAAAAAAUUCUAAAAAGAUAAUGUUAGCAAAACUCUAAUUUCUAAAAUCUAAUUUACACAAGUUGUUAGUUUGCUGGUUGGCUAACGCUCCACAUAGAUUAACUAAUUUAAAACAUGACUUUUAUCUUUUAACCAUCU
RNAcentral lists this long non-coding RNA (1240 nucleotides) under Dicentrarchus labrax (European seabass). Its description in RNAcentral is "lncRNA (ENSDLAG00005026431.1)". Lineage: Eukaryota; Metazoa; Chordata; Actinopteri; Moronidae. The record is from RNAcentral.